AUGAAGCAGAAUGUGGAAAAAUUCAUUGCAGAAUGUCCUAUUUGCCAAAGGGAAAAGCAUGAGACCUGCUUGCAGCCUGGACUGUUGGACCCCCUACCAAUUGCAGAUAUGGUGUGGCAACACAUCUCGAUGGAUUUUGUGGAAGGCCUGCCAAAAUCCCAGGGCAAGGAUGUCAUUAUGGUUGUGGUCGAUAGGUUCACCAAGUACAGUCACUUCAUUCCUAUGGCCCACCCAUACUCAGUCCUCUUGGUGGCUCAGAAAUUUGUGGAUCACAUCAUAAGAUUACAUGGCCCUCCUAAGAUCAUCAUCUCGGACAGAGACAGGAUUUUCACUAGCAAACUGUGGAAGGACAUUUUUACUGCCCUCAAGGUGGAGUUACGAUUCAGCACAGCAUACCAUCCCUAG
RNAcentral lists this ribosomal RNA (405 nucleotides) under Triticum aestivum (bread wheat). Its description in RNAcentral is "partial small subunit ribosomal RNA". Lineage: Eukaryota; Viridiplantae; Streptophyta; Magnoliopsida; Poales; Poaceae. The record is from RNAcentral.